RNAcentral lists this ribosomal RNA (500 nucleotides) under uncultured bacterium. RNAcentral describes it as "bacterial SSU rRNA". It matches the Rfam family "Bacterial small subunit ribosomal RNA", at positions 21 to 507 of the family's 1533-position model. The record is from RNAcentral.
GGCUCAGGAUGAACGCUAGCUACAGGCUUAACACAUGCAAGUCGAGGGGAAACGAUAUUGGAAGCUUGCUUCCGAUAGGCGUCGACCGGCGCACGGGUGAGUAACGCGUAUCCAACCUGCCCAUCACUUGGGGAUAACCUUGCGAAAAGUAAGACUAAUACCCAAUGACGUCUCUAGAAGACAUCUGAAGGAGAUUAAAGAUUUAUCGGUGAUGGAUGGGGAUGCGUCUGAUUAGCUUGUUGGCGGGGUAACGGCCCACCAAGGCGACGAUCAGUAGGGGUUCUGAGAGGAAGGUCCCCCACAUUUGAACUGAGACACGGUCCAAACUCCUACGGGAGGCAGCAGUGAGGAAUAUUGGUCAAUGGGCGAGAGCCUGAACCAGCCAAGUAGCGUGCAGGAUGACGGCCCUAUGGGUUGUAAACUGCUUUUAUAAGGGAAUAAAGUGGGAGUCGUGACUCUUUUUGCAUGUACCUUAUGAAUAAGGACCGGCUAAUUCCGUG